GAUGAACGCUGGCGGCGUGCCUAAUACAUGCAAGUCGAGCGAACAGAUGAGGAGCUUGCUCCUCUGACGUUAGCGGCGGACGGGUGAGUAACACGUGGAUAACCUACCUAUAAGACUGGGAUAACUUCGGGAAACCGGAGCUAAUACCGGAUAAUAUAUUGAACCGCAUGGUUCAAUAGUGAAAGACGGUUUUGCUGUCACUUAUAGAUGGAUCCGCGCCGCAUUAGCUAGUUGGUAAGGUAACGGCUUACCAAGGCAACGAUGCGUAGCCGACCUGAGAGGGUGAUCGGACACCCUGGAACUGAGACACGGUCCAGACUCCUACGGGAGGCAGCAGUAGGGAAUCUUCCGCAAUGGGCGAAAGCCUGACGGAGCAACGCCGCGUGAGUGAUGAAGGUCUUCGGAUCGUAAAACUCUGUUAUUAGGGAAGAACAAAUGUGUAAGUAACUAUGCACGUCUUGACGGUACCUAAUCAGAAAGCCACGGCUAACUACGUG
Molecule: ribosomal RNA, 497 nt
Filed under: uncultured bacterium
Lineage: Bacteria
Description: partial 16S ribosomal RNA
Rfam family: Bacterial small subunit ribosomal RNA
Source: RNAcentral